AUGGUCGUCAUGAAAGCGAGGAAAGCAAUCAAAAGAUCAACUUCCGCGACCGCUGACGCCGGAGCCGGAGCCAGCAGCUCCAUGUCCAUGGCGCCUCCGCCCAGUCCCGGCGGGUUUAACGAACUCAAGCAGCCGUCGCCGCUGCCUCCCGACGUCUACUUCAACCCGACAAAUGCGGAUAGUAUGGGGUUCCUCAACCGGUGGAUCGCCGGCGACGACAAGAUGCCGGACGCGCGGGGUUUCAUCUUUCACAUCGACAUGUACGCCAACGGUCCCUGCGCGUUGCAGCAGCUUCACCCGCCGGCCAGCGCCCGCGCGGGCUAG
This 324-nucleotide ribosomal RNA is filed under the name Triticum aestivum (bread wheat). RNAcentral's name for it is "partial small subunit ribosomal RNA". The record is from RNAcentral. Lineage: Eukaryota; Viridiplantae; Streptophyta; Magnoliopsida; Poales; Poaceae.